RNAcentral lists this small nuclear RNA (104 nucleotides) under Lynx canadensis (Canada lynx). RNAcentral's name for it is "U2 spliceosomal RNA (ENSLCNG00005007854.1)". It matches the Rfam family "U2 spliceosomal RNA", at positions 1 to 77 of the family's 192-position model. Rfam says of the family: U2 is a small nuclear RNA (snRNA) component of the spliceosome (involved in pre-mRNA splicing). Lineage: Eukaryota; Metazoa; Chordata; Mammalia; Carnivora; Felidae. The record is from Rfam by way of RNAcentral.
AUCGCUUCUCGGCCUUUUGGCUAAGAUCAAGUGUAGUAUCUGUUCUUAUCAGUUUAAAAUGAUUACACUAGUUAUAUUUCUUGCAGGCUAAUACAUUACCUUAU